Molecule: unclassified non-coding RNA, 574 nt
Filed under: Spathandra blakeoides
Lineage: Eukaryota; Viridiplantae; Streptophyta; Magnoliopsida; Myrtales; Melastomataceae
Description: partial external transcribed spacer
Source: RNAcentral
GCAUGGCAUGUAUUGAUCACAUACAAACGUGUCCGAUGUUUAAUGAGUGGGUAUCCCCUCAUGAGCUGAUGGCUCGUUGGUGGUGAUUGAUCUUCUGAUGGGAAGACGCAUGAGUGGUGAUUAGGAUGUACUUUCAUGCAGGCUCUGCGUAACAUACGUUGAACUGUGUGGAGCCAUUCGUUUCAGUAAUCAAUUGCUUUGGCUUGUCUUUGCUCGUUGCAAAAUGAUUGGGUGGUUUUUGUGUUAGCUAUCGAUUUUGGUAUGUGGGAUUGAUGAAUCCAUUGUGCUUUGUUCUUUCUGCUGCUGGCUUGUCCAGUAAAGGCGAAUGUUGCAUCAGUUUCCUGUGUUCCACGCAAGUUAUCCCUUUAUGGUAGUGGAUUUUCGAUGGCUCAUGGGUGGUUGUCUAUGCUCUUGGGUAUGUGAAAUAUUCAGUUGUCGUCCGGGUCUUUGACCCAUACGUGCCAUUUCCUGAGCAUGUAGCUUUAUUUUGUAUUCCCCUCGUGCUUGUUCCCGAGCUCAUUGAGCCUUAGUGCUCGUUGUUCAUCAUGGAGAUGCCGAGGCCUACAAGGAAUGC